GAUGAACGCUGGCGGCGUGCCUAAUACAUGCAAGUCGAGCGAACAGACGAGGAGCUUGCUCCUCUGACGUUAGCGGCGGACGGGUGAGUAACACGUGGAUAACCUACCUAUAAGACUGGGAUAACUUCGGGAAACCGGAGCUAAUACCGGAUAAUAUAUUGAACCGCAUGGUUCCAUAGUGAAAGACGGUUUUGCUGUCACUUAUAGAUGGAUCCGCGCCGCAUUAGCUAGUUGGUAAGGUAACGGCUUACCAAGGCAACGAUGCGUAGCCGACCUGAGAGGGUGGUCGGCCACACUGGAACUGAGACACGGUCCAGACUCCUACGGGAGGCAGCAGUAGGGAAUCUUCCGCAAUGGGCGAAAGCUUGACGGAGCAACGCCGCGUGAGUGAUGAAGGUCUUCGGAUCGUAAAACUCUGUUAUUAGGGAAGAACAAAUGUGUAAGUAACUAUGCACGUCUUGACGGUACCUAAUCAGAAAGCCACGGCUAACUACGUG
This 497-nucleotide ribosomal RNA is filed under the name uncultured bacterium. RNAcentral's name for it is "partial 16S ribosomal RNA". It matches the Rfam family "Bacterial small subunit ribosomal RNA", at positions 28 to 507 of the family's 1533-position model. The record is from RNAcentral.